This is a long non-coding RNA of Agrilus planipennis (emerald ash borer), 631 nucleotides long. RefSeq lists it as uncharacterized. The record is from RefSeq and is a predicted model, not a curated record. NCBI's taxonomy places the organism in Eukaryota, Metazoa, Arthropoda, Insecta, Coleoptera, Buprestidae. The transcript has 3 exons.
UAUGGGUUUGAUGUUGCAAGUUGCCGUUAAAGGUGGCUGCCAUUUAUUAGUGAAGGUAUGUGUUAGACGCCCAUUGUGUAGUCGUGUUUAAAUGUGAUUCACUCAAAAUAUGUGUAUAAAAAUCUGAAAGUGACAUUUUGAUUGCAGUUUACAUCAAAAUUGUGAAGCUUUUAGUGUUUUUUUGUUAUACGUGUGGAAUCUGUAAUUAUUUAUUACAACAAUACAAUAUCCAGAUUGUUGACCCUAAAAGUGGAUAUAGAUAACUAUCUAAUGCACAUUUCGGAAGUGUAGUGUAAAUUGGAGAAACAGAUAACAGUAAUAUAUGUUUACGAGAAAGUUUAUUUCUUGUUUCAGAGAGUACUUAGGGUGGCAGAGAUCACGAGGAUCGGUAUGGCACUCUGAUGCACAAUACUGCGAUGUGGAAGGCAACGGGAAAGCACCACAUUAUGAUUCCGAGUAAAAUGUAAUACACUCGCGAUCUCAGAACUUUGCUACGCGACCCUAUUUGGGGUCGCGACCCAUAGUUUAAGAAGGCCUGUACUACAUGAUCCCAAGUAAAACGUUCAACUACUGAAAUUAAAUGAUGGCGUCCUCUAGGGUAAAGCACUCCGGACGUAAACUAGUCCCCCAU